AUAAUUUCAAAAUAUUUAUUUUAAAUGCUGUGUGAGAGAUAGAAAAGUAGGGGAGAGAGAAAGAGAGGUGUAGGAGAGAGAGAGUGUGUGCGUGUGAAGAAGACAUGGAUUUUAGUCCAAAAAAUGUUAUUUUCUUAAUUUUGUGAAAUUCAUUUGAAAUUUAACCUAUUAUGAUGGAAUUUGAUUUUGGGUAUAACCAAAUUCAUAGCAUUUAUUCCUAGAAUUAAAAUCUAAAUUUUUUGCAAACCAAACAUACAAAAUAUUACUUAUUUCAUGUUCCCAAAAAUAAGUGAAGCAAAUUUGCAAAUCUAUCUUUGUUUCGAUUUCAAAUUGGCUGUAUAGGAUAAAGAAGCCGAACAACAACUUAUCUUUAGAAUUUGAAGAACCAAUACCUGUACUGCUCUACUUUUCUAAGCUUAAACUUGCUAUCCCUGUAAUAAAUCAGAAGCAAAGCAGCAAUUUUGCGCCAAAUUUCAUAAAUUAUCAUAGCCUCAACCGCAAAGCAAUUCAGUCCAGUCCAGUCAAACAUUUUGAAUAUCCUAAUUAGACCAUAAUCACGAAACUAAACGCCUAAAGGAAAAAGGAAUACGAAUAAUCAAGUAGAAAUGCACUUAAAAGCACCAUAAAAACAAAGACCUAAAGGAAUAGACAGAAGUAGUAACUACUGAAACAAAAAGUAUCUACAGCAUAGACAGCAAAACGACUGAAACAAAAGAAAUGGCCAUAAAAAUUAAUAAAUACUGAAUUUGAUCAGGAAAAAAUGCAUAGAAUUCAGGAACCUGAUACCCCCGCCGCUGAAAAAA
RNAcentral lists this unclassified non-coding RNA (803 nucleotides) under Hevea brasiliensis (rubber tree). Lineage: Eukaryota; Viridiplantae; Streptophyta; Magnoliopsida; Malpighiales; Euphorbiaceae. The record is from RNAcentral.